RNAcentral lists this long non-coding RNA (1590 nucleotides) under Anneissia japonica. RNAcentral's name for it is "uncharacterized LOC117115509, transcript variant X2". The record is from RNAcentral. Lineage: Eukaryota; Metazoa; Echinodermata; Crinoidea; Comatulida; Comatulidae.
CAACAACAGCAUAAGUAACAACAACACGAACCCAACAACACAAUGAACAACACAAGGAACAACACAAGGAAUUUAAUAUAUAUCAUUGCUAUUGAAAAUCAUGUAUUUUCCCAUACUCUAAACGUGGAUCUCAAAUGAUAAUGCUGUUGGGUUUGAGCCCCUGCGAGAAAGCAAGGGGCCGGAUCAGCUUAAAUUUGUCUCGAGUCCAAUUUUUUGCUUGUCAGAUUUAUAUUCAAAAGUCGAUUGUACGCAUGGGCCUUCUAAGACAUCUUUUAAGCUAAGAUUUUGCUAAGAUGGUUUGAUAAAUCAAAUUAGGAUAUUUGCCUAGGGACAUCUUAACUUUUUUUGACUUUAGACAUUUGCUAAGGUGAGAUUGAUAAAUCCCAGGCAGCUGAUUCUGAGGCAAGUAAGACAAUUGAGGAUAAAUGUAGCUUAAAUUCAAGUGGUAGGCUACAUCCUGAUGUUGUUGUACUGAAAACCAGGAAUUGGUGCUUGUGUACUACAAUUUUGAACAUUUGUACAUUAUACCAAGAUUGGUGAAUUCCAUACCCAAACUGUUUUUAGAGAACUGCCUCAUCUCAUAUGGCAUUUCCCCUCUUUGUUGAUGGAGUCACAUCCUUGAGGCUCAUAUUUGCACAUGCUCAAUCAGUGAAACGGUUCCAGGCUGGUGAGAGUCCAUAUUCCGAAACUGGAAGCGCAAGAGUUCUGUAAAGUGAUACAGUAGAAUAGCUUUUGAAGAGCUGGCAGCCUUGUUUGUGUGUGUGUGUGACAUGUUUGUUCCAUGUAGUGUGUUUGUGUUGGUUAGUAAUGUACUAGGUACCUGAAUCAUUUAACAGAGAGGUUAGUAUUGUUGAGAUGAUAGGCAGGGAGAUGUUUUCUGUGUUUGGAUAAUUGCUGAUCACUAUCACUAAUACUUUCUACUCUAUUAUCAUACUUUUACAAUUUCUUUCCUCGUAUUGGCCUAUUCUUAUUUAUUUUAUUUGAAGUUUAGUUAUAAUAAUAACUAUAGUUUAUUAUAUAAUUUUAAACGUACCAUUUUGUAUUCAAGCUCUGCUUUAUAUGGUGACGUCACUUGUAGCAGUUGGCAAGUGAAAUAUGAAAGAAGGUCAAGUCAUUUGUAUAACUUUGGAUUUAGUAGUUUUAGUAAACAUGUUGUUACUAAUGGUCCAACUCGUAAUGUUUGAUUAGCUCUGCUUUAUAUGGUCACGUCAAUUGUAGUAGUUGACAAGUGAAAUAAGAAAGAAGGUCGAGUCAUUUGUACUGAAUAACUUUGGAUUUAGUAGUUUUGAUAAACAUGUUGUUACUAAUGGUCCAGCUUGUAAUGGUUGAUCAGCUCAGCUUGGAGUAACAAUUCAUCAUUCUACUGUGUAUGUUCUGGAAAAUUAAAGUGUCAUCAGCAAAGAGAAGCUUGGCAAAAGAAAGGGUUGUAAUGGCUUAGAAUGGUCGUCACUUCCAGAUAAUGAUGUUGCUGCUGGCUUCUAUAAGUCUAUUGGUGGCGUUGAUAAAACUGUAACAGAAAAUUGGCAUGCCCACUAUUUACCUAAGGAUAAAUUCAUGGAACUUGCAAAUUCUUUAAAAUAAAAUACUAAA